UACAGAGGUCCCAAGCGUUGUCCGGAAUUAUUGGGCGUAAAGAGCUCGUAGGUGGCGUGUCGCGUCUGCCGUGAAAGCCCAUGGCUUAACUGUGGGUCUGCGGUGGAUACGGGCAGGCUGGAGGCUGGUAGGGGCAAGCGGAAUUCCUGGUGUAGCGGUGAAAUGCGCAGAUAUCAGGAGGAACACCGGUGGCGAAGGCGGCUUGCUGGGCCAGUUCUGACGCUGAGGAGCGAAAGCGUGGGGAGCGAACAGG
This 253-nucleotide ribosomal RNA is filed under the name uncultured bacterium. RNAcentral's name for it is "partial 16S ribosomal RNA". It matches the Rfam family "Bacterial small subunit ribosomal RNA", at positions 524 to 776 of the family's 1533-position model. The record is from RNAcentral.